AUGGAUAUAGUGUCCGCGUCAAACAUCGCUGGUGUAUUCGUCCAGAGACACUUAUUCUGCUCUGCAGGACCGACAUCUACCGCUCCAUCUAGCUCUAUGUUGUGUGAGUUCGCGACCCCGGCCAUCGCCUUGGCGGAGGCGGUCGCUCCUCUAGACCGCGAUGACCGGCAGCCAGGACAGCAACGUACUAGUGGUGUUGCGGGUGGAGACGUCGUGCUGGACAGUGUAGCCAGCGAGGUCGCUGGUUUACUCCUGGCCUCGCCGGAUCCUACCUCACCAUCUGUAGGUCUCUGUUUGGAGAUGGAAGGAUCCAUGGGAGGGGGGAGGGGCGUCGUGUAG
RNAcentral lists this ribosomal RNA (339 nucleotides) under Triticum aestivum (bread wheat). RNAcentral describes it as "partial small subunit ribosomal RNA". The record is from RNAcentral. Lineage: Eukaryota; Viridiplantae; Streptophyta; Magnoliopsida; Poales; Poaceae.